CAGGGAGUCACCAUCUUCAUCCCAACCCGCCCUCUCACUCUCUCUCACACACACACACACUCUCUCUCACAGACUAUCUUCAUCCCAACCCCCGUCUUACUCUCUCACACACACAUUUUCUCUCUCUCUCACACACACACACACUCUCUCUCACAGACUAUCUUCAUCCCAACCCCCGUCUUACUCUCUCACACACAUAAACACAUGGCCCAAACAACCCCAAACCACACACAGACGGUUGCCGGCUGGGCGGCCCAUGAUUCCUCCGGCAAGAUUACUCCUUACCUCUUCAAACGAAGAGAAAACGGUAUCAAUGAUGUGACCAUUAGGAUCUUGUAUUGUGGGAUAUGCCACACCGAUCUUCAUUUUGUCAAGAAUGAUUGGGGUAUCACCAUGUACCCUGUCGUCCCCGGUCAUGAAAUAACCGGAGUGAUAACAAAGGUGGGAAGCAAUGUAAAGAAUUUUAAGGUAGGAGACAGGGUAGGGGUUGGAUGCUUGGCCUCUUCGUGUCUGGAGUGUGAGUUCUGCCAAGACUCUCAAGAGAACUACUGCGACCAGAUUCAGCUCACUUACAAUGGCAUUUUCUGGGAUGGUAGCAUCACCUAUGGUGGCUACUCCAAAAUGCACGUUGCUGAUCACAGUUGAAGGUAGCAAGCUGAAAAAUCUGUUUUGCGGACCGAAAAUUUGGGGCGAUUUCAUUUCGGUGGUAAUUGGGAUUUUCAUUCCAAUUGAGGUACAGGACUCGGGAUUUGAAGAUUCCAUUGCUCCUUGGAUGGCUUACAGUUUCUAAGUUUCUAUUUUAUGCAAGUGUUAGCAUAAAAUGCCUCUUUGUAGCCCUAUUUGUUUAAACUUGUAUUCGUUGAUUCAUAUAUGUAAGGUGUACGUAAGUGCACUCUUUUCAAUAUAUUUAACAUGUAUGAGAUGAGGCCGGAGGCCAAUCACAUGUAUCUCGUUUUCUAUGCACUUUUGUUUUCAAAGUUUAUUAUGAAAA
Cornus florida is the source of this 991-nucleotide RNA transcript. It is a transcript of the gene named probable cinnamyl alcohol dehydrogenase 6, with no coding region annotated. NCBI's taxonomy places the organism in Eukaryota, Viridiplantae, Streptophyta, Magnoliopsida, Cornales, Cornaceae. The record is from RefSeq and is a predicted model, not a curated record. The transcript has 5 exons.